GCCUUCUACCAAAUACUUUAUUUAAUCGAUCAUAACCAAAAUACGCAUGCUACAAACAAGAUGGUCAUCGUGACCAAUGCAUCCAUACAAACCAACCAUUUAUCCGACUAACGAAAACAACAGAUCGACUUACCACGACUAAACUUGACGCGGUGUCCGCGAACAUGGCGAUAGUUUCGGUUCAGUCUUUCUAUUUGACACCUAGCAAGCGUCACGCGUCUUCGACAGAGGGCUGCAAGAAACGGCAACGAUUUAUAGGUUUGACAUUACAUCAAACACAGGGCAUGCAGGGACAGCGAGGUCUCACCGAGGUUUGACGACAGUGCAACCGGGCUGCCCAAAAAUCACG
Molecule: long non-coding RNA, 349 nt
Filed under: Zea mays
Lineage: Eukaryota; Viridiplantae; Streptophyta; Magnoliopsida; Poales; Poaceae
Description: long non-coding RNA (ZMAY_LNC003939)
Source: RNAcentral